AAUGUACGAAUUAAGUGCCUAUUUAAAAUAUCUGCAAUGCAGAGAUUUUGAACCAUAUUUAAUCAGACACACUUGCGAAUCACAGUGCCAAGAGUUGUAAGAGCUUAAAUAUUUCAGAACAAAAUGAAAAGUGAAAAAUAUAUUUUGAAUGCAGCAAUGUCACCUACCUACCAUAUAUGCAUAUCUUUAUGUUGAAGAACUGACGACAAACUUUGAAAAAUAAACAAUUAGAAUAUUAGAAUUAGAAUAGACUCGCCUAACGAUAGCCGCCCGCGAUUAGUAUACACCCUGUUAGAGGCCAAGUACACAGUAUUCUAUUAAGGCAAAUCACAGAACGUGUCGGUGUAAAUGAGAUCCACGUCCGAACUUGGUUCAAAAAUAGACGAGCAAAAAAAAGCACCCGCUCGGAGAGAAUGGAAAACGUAAUGAUGUGGAAUACUGAUACAACCUACUUUCAUUAUCAACGCACGACUGCUCUGAAGAUAUCAAGAUCUGACGAGCUGGAUGUCGUCGUGGAGAUCACCGAUAAUGAUAUCAACCAAUCAAUGUCGGUUCUGAAUUCACCGGCAUUUUUAAAUUAUGAUUUGAUAGCUCCAAUAUUAAAUGAAACAUGAACGAAUGUAAAUUCGAAAUCUCUAUAUCGGAUCACCGGUUGAUGGGCGUUUUUGAUAUGAUCUAUAGUGAAAGAAAUAGAACGAUGUCGAAAUGGGUUGAGCCUGCAAAUCUAACUUAUAUGUUUUUUGCAACAACAACAUCAUUUAUUGCUACAACAACACCAAUGAAUUCGCUGAAUAGUACGAGUGCCGGCAUGAUAUCAGCUCAAGUUACGGCCAGCAUUAUUAAAUAAUAUGAACAAUUUUAGCUUGAGUACAGGAAUAGCGCACAAGUUCGGCACUAGUUUGAUGUGAAUUUUCUAUUUAUUUUAUUCGUUCAACCACCAGUAGUUGGCGUUGCGUAAAGUGGAUCGAAGAGUAUAAUGGGCUAGAUCAGAAUGUGGUCAAUCGGAUGACUUCCUAAGCUUUUAAAACAAUUUGAAUAUAACUUCAAGAAGAAAACUUGAUGGAAUACCUGGCCGGUCAAUCUAAGCUUUUAAUGUUUUGUAUCAAGUAUAUGUUUUGUCUGUAUACGUAGUUUCAAAGCUGUAUUCGACUGCGAAAGUUCCGAUGUCGUAAAUAAGCAGAAACGGUUCAGCGAUUUUCCGGUAAAGCUUUCGAAGUGCUAGCCCCGAAAGCUGGGGUAGUCAAUGCAACUGAAUUUGUCUUUCAAUCGUAUUCAAUGUGUAUUCUUAAAUUUUAUUUCAAACUUUGAUAUUGAUUUAAUUUUCUGAAU
This is a long non-coding RNA of Zeugodacus cucurbitae (melon fly), 1329 nucleotides long. RefSeq lists it as uncharacterized. The transcript has 3 exons. NCBI's taxonomy places the organism in Eukaryota, Metazoa, Arthropoda, Insecta, Diptera, Tephritidae. The record is from RefSeq and is a predicted model, not a curated record.